ACUUGGUCUCUGCUCCUGGUUUGAAUGGCCAUUGUCGUAUUUGGGCGGGGGCUAGAAGCAGCAACAAGUAUGGUGUUGUGUACUACAAGAACAGCUUGAAGACGAUGCACGUACAUAGCAUAGACUCAGUGUCACCCACCUCCCUAUCAUAUCUGUCGCCUGAAGCUACAUAUGGAUAACAACAAUCUUGCAAGAUUACGACUGAAGUUCCACCAUUUGGAAACAAGUUCUCCAUCACAAACAAGUGAAUAUGUUGCACACAUUGAACAGUCUCCACUAUAGCACAGAAUAGUGGCCUCAAGGACUUUAGGGUCAGCUGUGUGCCAAUGCCCUUGUGGGCGCAGAAUACAGGGCGAUCCACUAUCACCAUCACAGUUACGAGUUUGGUAGGACUGGCUGUCCAGACUUGGCUUGGUGACCAGGGCAUGAUAUGUUGAAUUCGGCCUGACAAAUGAUCGUUAACUUGAAUUUCUCUGUACCCCAGUCUUAGUCUUGCGGCCAUGGGAAUUAACUUGAUGAAAUCCGCCUUGCCUUGGGAGCUUCCUCUUGCAGAGUUGCUUCUCUUUGUUCCAAGGAGUCAUGUUUUUCUUAAACAUGUUGGAGAUCUAGCUCAUCACUUCAAAGGGCCAGAACUCUGCUGUUGAGAGUACCAAUCCAAUGAAACUUCAUAGGGAUGUUUAGUAUGACUGCAGGAGUGUCUGUGCCGAGUUUCAUGAAAAUCAAACAAGUGACUAUUGGGAACAACGUAGCAGAGGAAGUCUCAGAGUUUGUUUACCUCGGCAGUACUAUCACAGCCGAUGGGGAUUCAACAUCUGAUGUAGAGAGCACAAUAGCCAAAGCAAGAGCAGACUUCGCAAGCCUGAGGAACAUCUGGAAGUCAGCAGCCAUCAGCAUCAAGACCAAGAUCAGGAUAUUCAAGAGUAACAUCAUUGGAGUCCUCCUAUAUGGUGCCGAGUCGUGGAAGGUGACCAAAGGUGUUGUCCAUAGACUGGAUGUCUUCCAGACCAAAUGCCUACGACGGAUUCUGAAGGUCUUCUGGCCCAACACCAUCAGCAACAAAGAUCUAUAUCAGAGAACGUCAACAUCACCAAUAUCUGAGAUGAUCAAGAUGAGACGAUGGAAAUGGAUCGGACAUGUCCACAGGAUGGGAGCAACAUCAAUCCCAAAGAUCGCCAUGAGAUGGACACCAGCAGGAAAGAGAAAUAGAGGGAGACCAAAGGAAACAUGGCGACGAUCAGUAGAGAAAGAGAUGAAGGAGUGUGGAUGGACUUGGAGCCGGAUUCAGAACAUGGCAGCAGACAGACAGAUGGCGAUCCUCAGUGAAGGCCUUAAGUGUUUUCUAGCAUGAAGAGGAUUAAGUAAGUAAUUAUUAGUAUUGGACAAAGAGUAUCAGUCGAUUGUAUAUUUUGCCAGUAAUUUGCAGUUCAGAGUUAGGUUUCCUGGCUCUAAUCAGCUUAUCAUACCUUUUCCAAUAUGAAAUUAAUGUCCAAUACAAUAUUUUUACAAAUUUAUUUAUAAAUUAGUACUUUUCAUAUCACAUAAUUUUCAAAUAAAGGAGCAAAACUCCUACAAAAGAAGUCAAAAUGGAUCCAAAUUGCAACAUGACCCACAAAGAAGCUACAUAGCAAAGUUAACUUUUAAAGAGAAAUGAAAUUAGAAAAAAAAAAAAAAAAAAAAACUCUGACGGACGGACAACAUUGGUGUACUACAAUACAUCCCCUCUAUAUAAAAAACAAACUCUAUAUGUUACAAUACUUCAACAAGAAAGCAAGAAGACAACAUAGCUUGUUGGGAAGUAGGCCUUUACUUAGCUAUCCCCUUUCCUUGAAAAGGUUAGUAAAGUUAUUUAAAAUUUAGUCAAAGACCAAGGUCAUUAGGUCAAACGUUUUGAGUCAUGAGGCAUCUACAUACAUGCAUGAAAUAUCAAAACCCCAUCCCCUCUUAUUCAAAAGAUAUAGUUCAAAUUUAAGUUUUUGAAAAGUCAGUCAAGUCCAAGGUAUCCUCACAUCUGCUCAGUUUACAAUUUUAAGAAUGUUGAUAGUCAAAUGAGGCAGUCAUUUCAUACAAUAUUCUGUCUUCACUACUGUAGAUACUGAUCAUUUCUGAAUCAUUUGAUAUUACGUGCAAGUACAGUUGUCAGAGAUUGCAAACCCAAACAGUUUUGUUCUUAGUCUCCUCAAGAUCAACAAAUAAUUUUAAUACAAAAACUUUAGAUUAUCCCAUGAAAAAAAUAAACAAGGCAUUGAAGAUGCCUUGACCUUGGACAAACUGACCUCCCAAGCAAUUGAGAUUAUUUUUGCAUGAAUGUAUAUCAGCCUAAUAAAAACAUGUAUGAAAUACGAAAAAUAAACCACUUUUCAAUUAUCCGUUGCACAAGAUCUAUAUUAUACACAUAUCACUUGUCUGGUCUGGUAGUGACCUUGACCUAGGACAUACUGAUCUGUUGAGCAAUGGAGAUCAUAUGCACAUUAAUGUAUAUUGAUCUAAGGAAUCUGAUAUACUCCUUCCAAAAUGUGUGAAGGAAGGGGGAUGGGGGGGGGAGGGGUUAUAAUACCAGAAUUUCUAUUACAAAAUAUUCAGCAUGACAUAAUGUGCCCUUGUUGACAGUUGUUCUUGAGAAUUUUAAAAAUAAUUUUGAACAUAAUCGUGCGUAAAAUUGCAACGGACAAGAAUGUCUUUGGAUACACUCUUAAUGCAAAAAAAAAACCAAUUUAAUUUCAGAUGUAUUCUAGGUCAGGAAAGUUAAGUAUACCAUUCAAAAGUAAUUUUUUUAUAGGGUUUGUUUGAGGCUGUGGCCCCCACUUACAGUGUAAGACAACUUCUUUGGAGAAAAAAGUCAUGUCCACUGUCUGGCUUCUAAGCAACGACGAAUCGUAUCGUGGUGUCACAGAUCGAUUUGACCUUUCCAAAGGAUCCUUGCAUUUCAUUUUUUUGACAGUUUGUAAUGCAGUAAAGGCCUUGGACACAGUCAAGUGGCCAACACUCUCCCAGAUGAGAACAUCUGCAUCUAUUUUUCAGGAUCGAUAUGGUUUUCCAGGGAUAAUAGGAUGUAUUGAUGGAAGCCAUAUUCCCAUUAAAGACAGAGGGCAGGAUCGAUCUAGUUUUAUUAACAGAAAGGGAUUUAGUUCCAUCAUAUUACAAUGCAUAUGCAAUGAAAACAUGAGUUUCAUUGAUGCUUAUGCUGGUUGGCCUGGAUCAGUCCACGACUCUUGCGUUUUCAGAAAUAGUCCGAUCAAUUUGGAGCUGAACAAAUUGUGCCCAUCAUAUCAUGUUCUAGGAGAUUCUGCAUACCCCCUCUCCAUAUCGUUAAUUACACCAUUCAGGGAGACUGGUUGUCUAUCUGAACAAGAAAGGAGGUUUAAUGUCGUACACAGCUCUGCCAGGCCUUUGCUCUUCUGAAAGGCAAAUUUAGGCGUUUGAAGUCGCUGGAUAUGUCUCUUGAACAUCAAAUUCCAGAAGUUAUCAUGGCUUGUGUACAUCUCCACAACACUGUAAUGGAGCAGAGAAGCGCCUGGCUUUAGCAGCUUCUUUGUGACUGCAAAGUGCUGUUGCCCGGAAUCGCUAUGAAGGAUGUUGUCAAUUCCACGUACUUCUUCCAGCUCCGGACUUGUUCAUGGAAUCUUUUAUUGACCUUUUAACACCUAAAAUCCAGGAAAACCUGUUCAGGAGUGAAGAUGUAGGAAACUUCGCAAUAUAAUUUAAUUUUUUUUGUGAAAGCAUCAAUCUCCUUAAUACAAUUUAUAUCAUAAAAUAAAAAUCAA
Ostrea edulis (European flat oyster) is the source of this 3761-nucleotide RNA transcript. RefSeq lists it as uncharacterized. Lineage: Eukaryota; Metazoa; Mollusca; Bivalvia; Ostreida; Ostreidae. The record is from RefSeq and is a predicted model, not a curated record. The transcript has 6 exons.